CCCGGCUCCCCGCCGCCCCCCGCGCCGAUGUGCUAAUGAUUGCGCUGCAUCCGCCCGACGACGCCGUCUACGUUUUUUUAGAACGGAGGCUCAAGAAGAGCCCGGCUUUGAAUUAACAAAGCCAUCAACCGGCCAGGAUUACAUGACUGCCAUUUACAACAAGAAAACAAAGAGCGGAAAGGAAGAUACAUUGUGCUCGGUAGAACAACUCAAAGGCAUAGAACAAUGUCAUCGAACGCCGCUAUGCCGAAACCAGCUAACCUACUAAGGCUAUGGGAGGAAGGCACCACCGUGCAUGUUUUGUGUCACUGACUGUCACCAGAGGGAAAACAGGGGCAACACAUGACCGGACUCCGCCUCCGCAAAGGGCCCCUACCCUUUCACCCGGGCUCGACAGAUGCCGCACCGGCGGCCUGCAGAGUGGUUCACCCUAGAACCCAGAUCAGAAUUCCCAUGUAGCCAAAGGAGGCACCAAGAACACACCCACACGAAACGGGGAGUCGAACACCCAAUCACCGUUGCCGGCUGCAGCAAGGCAGAGCACUAGACGCGAGUUGUCGAAACGAAGGCGCUGAGAAACCCCGGAGAAGGCCGAGAGUAUGCAGCACCACGCAUCGGUCAAGGAUAGGAGCCUCAUAGCCCAUGGCACGAGAGAGGGACUCCCCUCGCACCAGCGGUUGAAGCCCUCCACACAUGGACCCGAGCAAGUUACCGAAGAUGAAGAUCAGACCAAUACAAUCCGCCGUCGAACCACCACCAGCUCCACCACCACUUGAGCACUUCCCUGACGACGCCUUCAGGAAGGAUCACGCCACCAAGGUGCCGUUGUCGCCAUGAAUCGAGGAACUGAGGCUUUCACCUGAGCUGCUGGGUGGGGUGGGAGGUGCAGGAAGCCCACCGAAGCCUUCAGCAAGGAAAACGACGCCCAAAGGCGACAUCUUCAGUGUGGCCGUCGCGCCGGCCAGGGGUUUCCCCCGAAACCGCACCCAACCACCAGAUCCGCACACCCGCCAUCCAGAAAACAGCGACCGGAACCAUCAGGAACAGGGACGGCGCGGAUCGGAGCAGAUCGAGGUUGUGGACGCCGAUUCUCCAAGGUUCAGCCGGCCUACGGGAAGCUGCUGCAGCCGCCGACACCCGCCGCCUCCACGCCGCCCGCGCAGCCGGGGAGGCGGCCCACCUGCACCCUGCGGCGCCGCUGGCCGCCGCCCCGGAUGCCGAGGCUCUCCACGAAGGGUGGAUCCGCCGAGGUCCCCGCCGCCACCUUCAUGGGUGC
Molecule: ribosomal RNA, 1276 nt
Filed under: Triticum aestivum (bread wheat)
Lineage: Eukaryota; Viridiplantae; Streptophyta; Magnoliopsida; Poales; Poaceae
Description: partial small subunit ribosomal RNA
Source: RNAcentral